Phrynosoma platyrhinos (Desert horned lizard) is the source of this 72-nucleotide non-coding RNA. NCBI's taxonomy places the organism in Eukaryota, Metazoa, Chordata, Lepidosauria, Squamata, Phrynosomatidae. The record is from the annotation of a GenBank genome assembly.
GCUAGUGUGGCAUAGUGGUUAGAGUGCUGGGUUAUGAUGCUGGAGACCAGGGUUCGAUUACCCGCUUGGGCA